GACGAAGGUGGCAACCGUUGUUCGGAAUCACUGGGCAUAAAGCGCACGUAGGCGGAGAAGCAAGUCGGGUGUGAAAUCCCUCGGCCCAACCGAGGAACUGCGCCCGAAACUGCUUCUCUUGAGGGCAGGAGGGGAGCGUGGAAUUCCUGGUGGAGCGGUGAAAUGCGUUGAUAUCAGGAGGAACACCGGCGGCGAAGGCGACGCUCUGGCCUGCUUCUGACGCUAAGGUGCGAAAGCCAGGGGAGCAAACGGG
This 253-nucleotide unclassified non-coding RNA is filed under the name uncultured Planctomycetota bacterium. RNAcentral's name for it is "uncultured planctomycete contains 16S-23S intergenic spacer region". It matches the Rfam family "Bacterial small subunit ribosomal RNA", at positions 524 to 776 of the family's 1533-position model. The record is from RNAcentral. Lineage: Bacteria; Pseudomonadati; Planctomycetota.